AUACGGAGGGUGCAAGCGUUAUUCGGAAUCACUGGGCGUAAAGGACGCGUAGGCGGGUUGGCAAGUCAGAUGUGAAAUCCUACAGCUUAACUGUAGAACUGCAUUUGAAACUGCUAACCUAGAGUAUGGGAGGGGGCGAUGGAAUUAGUGGUGUAGGGGUAAAAUCCGUAGAUAUCACUAGGAAUACCGAAAGCGAAGGCGAUCUCCUGGAACAUAACUGACGCUAAGGCGUGAAAGCGUGGGGAGCAAACAGGAUUAGAAACCCUAGUAGUCC
This 274-nucleotide ribosomal RNA is filed under the name uncultured bacterium. RNAcentral describes it as "partial 16S ribosomal RNA". It matches the Rfam family "Bacterial small subunit ribosomal RNA", at positions 523 to 796 of the family's 1533-position model. The record is from RNAcentral.